This 497-nucleotide ribosomal RNA is filed under the name uncultured bacterium. RNAcentral's name for it is "partial 16S ribosomal RNA". It matches the Rfam family "Bacterial small subunit ribosomal RNA", at positions 28 to 507 of the family's 1533-position model. The record is from RNAcentral.
GAUGAACGCUGGCGGCGUGCCUAACACAUGCAAGUCGAGCGAACAGACGAGGCGUUUGCUCGUCUAACGUUAGCGGCAGACGGGUGAGAAACACGUGGAUACCCUCCCUAUCAGACUGGUAAAAUUUCGGGAAACCGGCGCUUAUACGGUAUGAUCUACUGAACCGCAGGGGGCAAUAGUGAAAUACGGCUUUUGGGGCACUACUCGCGGGAUCCCAGCCGCAUUAGCUGGUUGUUGAGGUAACAGCUUAUCAAGGCAACGAUGCGUAGCCGAGGUGAGAGGGUGGUCGCCCACACUGGAAGGGAGACAGCGUCCAGGCUCCUGCGAGAGGCCGCAGUAGGGAAUGUUCCGCAAUAGGCGGAAACAUGACAGAGCGACGCGACGUGAGUGAUGAAGAUCUUCGGAUCGUAAAACUCUGUUAUUGGGGGAAAACAAAUGUGUAAUUAAAUGAGCACGUCGUGACGGUACCUGAUCAGAAAGCACCGGCUAACUACGUG